GCUUGGAUAGCUCAGUUGGUCACAGUGUGGUGCUGAUAACGCCAAGGUUGCAGGUUCGAUCCCCAAUAAGGGACA
Molecule: non-coding RNA, 75 nt
Organism: Podarcis lilfordi (Lilford's wall lizard)
Lineage: Eukaryota; Metazoa; Chordata; Lepidosauria; Squamata; Lacertidae
Source: the annotation of a GenBank genome assembly